CACCACCACCACCACCAUCUCCCUCCUCCCCCCCCCCACUUCACCAUAACCACCACAGCCACAACCAUCCCUGUCACAACCACCACCGCCGCCAUCUUCACCAUUUUAUACUUUAUUCCAUUCACAAAGUUAUGGUAGCCAGGUGAUGGCAAGCUGGCAGCCAAUCGGACCUCUUAUUCUCUAGAAAGUUGCCUCCCUUUCAGCGGCAACCCCACCCCCAAUUUCCACCGACUUUUCAGUCAUCAAUGGCUGUUGUGGCGUUGACUUUAGUCUCCUUUCUUCUCGGGCAAUAGUUGAAGUCUCAAAUGUUAUAGCAAGCAGGUAUUUACAAUUCUGCCGUAAUUGAUUUCAGUUCCAACUCGCUCAGCAUAAUAUUGCGUAUCGACAAAGCUGUUUGUUUAAUUGAAUUGGUUUCUUGCGUGGAGGGUGAUGGUGGAGGGUGGAGGAGGGUGAUGGUGGGUGGAGGUUGAAGAUGAAGUGUGGUGGAAGAUUCGCGGAUAGUCCCUAUGGUUUGGCCUUUUAAGGAAAGGGUAUUUUUGUCAUUUCACACCCUCUUAACAGAGAAAACAAACUGAAGUUAGACCCAGGGACUAUCCGGGAACAAAAAAUGAAAACUUGGGGACUAUUCAGGUAAUUUUAGAAAGUUGGGGACUAUAGGUGAAAAAAGACGAAACCACAGGGACUAUCCGGGCAUUUUUCUCCUUAAAUUUUUUUAGUUUUAUCUAAAAUACCUAGCUAUAUAGUUUUAUCUAAAAUACCUAGCUAUAUAGUUUUAUGUAAAUUAAAUAUCUUUCUAAAAUAGUAAAAUGUCAAUGAAUAAAAAAAUGAGUUAAAAAAAGGCUUAAAUUUUUUUACAUGAAAGAUAUUUAUUAUUAUCAAUCAUUUCAAUCCAAAAUUGAAAAUGAGUAAGGUUUACAUUAUUUAAAACGAGUAAGAAAUUUAAUUUACAUAAAACUAUAUAGCUAGUAGAUUUUAUUUAAAAAAUCUAUUUAAAAAAAUACUGGUGUAACAAGUAGAUUUUAUGUUAAAUAAGAAAUUUUAUAAAAAUAUGAAAAAAGAAUAGAGUUUAUGUUAAUUAAGAGAUAUAAUAAAAAGAUGAAAAUAAAAAAAUAAAUAGAUUUUGAAAAAUUGAUUUAAACUUAAAUAAAAUUAGGUGUUAGUACCCAGAUGUGUUACAUUGAUAAACUUAAAGAAAUGCAAGGGUAUUUUAGUCGUUAAUUAACUAAUUUUGAUGUUAGUACCCAAAGGUGUUACAAAAUUGAAACCAUAGAACCUAAACUUGUUAAAAAAAAGUUAGUACCCAAAGGCGAAAUUAGGUAUAAACCACAAGACCCAUUUGUGUAAUUAACUCAUACUUAAAUGUGUGGGAAAAUUAAUUAAUUAGGGUUUCAAAAUUAAUUAUGUGGGUGAAACCGAAAAUCGUACCAAACCGAAUUCAGUAAUGUUUAAAACUGAAUUGCUUAUUCGAUUUAGGUUUCAAACAAAAUCGGAAACUGAAUUGAUUAUUAGGUUCGGUUUCGGUUUAAUUGGUUUCAAACCGAAUAAUAAACACUCCUAGUGCGAGGGGCACCUUGAGGUAAGUGAACCGGAUUCAUCGGGUACACCGCCAUAAUUAUUGUGGGUUGUGAUUCGGGAUCAAGUUUUUGGCUCGUGAAUCGUAGAGAAAACGAAGAAGAGUGUUCGAAUAAGGUUAGAAAUUGGGUGCAGGUUCAUCGGGUGAAUCAAGAACACCGUCGUAAUUAAACCGGGUUCAUUCAGGUACUUUUGGUUACCAUGAGGUAGUUGGUUGAUUGAUUUGGGUUCAUCGAGUUUUAAAGUUGACCAAUUAACCAUAUUAUAUAUUUUUCUUGGGUUAAAAAUUUAUUAUAUCAAAAUAUAAUAUGUUUUUACUUUUUCUUUUUACUUGCCUUUUUACUAGUUAAUUACAAACUUUUAUGUAUAUGGGUGUUAAAUGCUUCUUUGUAGUAGGUUGGCAAGCUAAACUCGAUAAAAAAUAAAAAAUUAUGUCAGACAUGUGAACCACGGGUGUAAUGUAUUUUACCCUAUAACUUAAUAAUUAAUUAAUUUAUUUGCAUAUUAAUAAUCUAAAACUACAUAACUUGUAAAAAAAAAAUAUAAAUACAAGGGUGAGAGUUCGCUACAAAGUCAAUUUUUCCUACAAAGUGUAAAAAGUCUAAAACACCAUAAUGUUCACCAUAAAACAUACUCAAAACCCACAAAUAACAAAGUGAAAAUUACUAAAACGCCAUAUUUGUGCAUUUUGUGUUGUGUUUUGGAUGAUAAGGCUUUGAUUAUCAAAUGACUAACAUCAAUGUUUUUUAUGUUGAUUAUCAUGUUGUGUUUUAUAUUCAUAGUUCUACGAUGGUAUGUUUGAAGUUUUAAUGGAUUGUUAGGGUUUGAAUAUUGUGUUUUAGAGAUCUUCACUUUGUAAUUGUGGGUUUGGAGUGUGUUUUAUGGCUGGAAUUGUGGUGUUUUAUGACUUUGUACACUUUGUAGGAAAAAUGGACUUUGUAGCCAAACCCCACCCUAAAUACAAAUUCGUAUGAAGUAAUUACGUU
RNAcentral lists this long non-coding RNA (2558 nucleotides) under Helianthus annuus (common sunflower). RNAcentral describes it as "hypothetical non coding rna". Lineage: Eukaryota; Viridiplantae; Streptophyta; Magnoliopsida; Asterales; Asteraceae. The record is from RNAcentral.